AAGGCACAAUAUACUGUACCAUUAACCGAGCCGAUGCAGAUGGUCAUGACGUGUGCAGCCUGUACUCUCAGGGUCCAGACCCAUACACCAGCACACCAGUCCUCUCCAAAACUGACCUCUACAGCAUAGAGCAGGACCUGGAUCAGUGGAGCCUUCAGUCCAGCAACAGUGGAGCAGAUUAUGCAAAACUUCAGUACCCAAGAGGCGAAAAUGCCAAACUGAUGAAGCAGAAGUCUCUAGGACAAACCUCUUCACCAACUUGGUCUGAUGUGUUGUCCCUACAUUCAGUACAAAACAAGGAGGUUCAAAACACAGACAAAAGACACAGCCCUGAGGAAGAUGAAGAGUGGUGUCCUCCACUGCCCGAGCGAUCUUAUCUGAUUGAGGGUCUGGAGGACGUAGCCACUCUGCCUUUGAGAGGAGAGGAAACCAACAGGGCCACGACCUACAGCCUGCAGUCCACAGCAACUCUCACACCCUCCCCCAGCGAGGAGCAGUACCCGCCGAACCUGCACCAUCCAGACCUGCUGCCACGGAAAACACAGUGUGCACACGAUACACAGUUUGCUCUUUCCAACCCAAAGCUGUUAACCAAGACAGAGUCUCUUAAUGGCAGCGUUCCCAACCACAGCGGUCCUUGGAGAGACAUUGCUGAAGUGGAGGAACUGUUCUCCAACAACACAGGCACAAGAGAAUAUACAUCAUUCACGUCCUCAAUUCAGAAGCCCAGGCCUAAGAAGAAAUCUCAAAAGGAUGGCCUUGCGAGACGUGAUGCGCUGAAACCAGGGAACCUGCCUCCUCCACCUGAGCCCCCUCCUGUAACCGAGGACCCACUCAAGCACAUGACAGACACACUGGACAACGGCGGGAGCAGGACGCCCCCACAACACAGAGAGAGAAGAUCAGAACGCAGAACAGCUGCACAGUGGAGCACACAAGGUCAGACUUAAGGG
Molecule: long non-coding RNA, 953 nt
Filed under: Sinocyclocheilus anshuiensis
Lineage: Eukaryota; Metazoa; Chordata; Actinopteri; Cypriniformes; Cyprinidae
Description: lncRNA (ENSSANG00000041271.1)
Source: RNAcentral